UUUUUUAUUUGUUUUUAUUUUUUCAAAUUCCUUCUUAAAUUAUUUUAAAGUAAUUGUGACCAGAACCCCAUCACCUCACUUUAAAAAAAAUCUGAAGACUGGAGUUUAGAGGGAAUAUAUCAUCUGUCAAGGUCAGAGGCCAAAUAGGUUUCUGAAAAAAGCUGGAUUGAAACUAGGUCUGACUUCAGGGGAAAUGAUACUAGAGUGCUGGAAAGGGAAGAGUGUAGUUCCUUUAAACGAUACAGAAGCGGGGAAGGGAAGUGCUGGGUAGAGAAGAACCGGUCCCUGGCUAGGGCUCCACCCCCACGAACCUAGUUGAGGACAGGCAUUUCCUGCCCAGAUGUUGCAUUUCACAAGACUACCCUGGCCCACCAGAUCCCCAUCCUGGGCCUAUAAAAACCCGAGACCCUAGCCGGCCAACACACAGAAGCGGCUGGACACCCUGAGGAGCACAUUAGCAGAAGACACAAGCUGGUGGACGGCAAGAGGACAUGGAGAGGAUGUCCAGGGAGCACGUCAAGAGGACGUCGAGGCAGUAUGCAGGUGGAAGAGCAUACUGACAGACGUCGGCACAGCGGCAGGCCAUCCACCAUCAAAAGGAGGCAGAGUUUGGCUGGAGCAAUCAGAGAAGAGUCCAGCUGCAAAGUGACCUGACUCCAGCGGAAAACCAUCUCCCUCUGGCUCCGCCAUCUGCUGAGAGCUACUUCUACUCAGUAAAACCUGGCACUCAUUCUCCAAGCCCACAUGUGAUCUGAUUCUCCGGCACACCAAAGCAAGAAACCCCGGGAAUACAGAAAUCCCUCUGUCGGAAGGGGGUCUAAUUGAUUUGGUUAACACAAGCGGCCUAUGGACGGCAAACCAAGAGAGCAUCGUUAACACACGCCCACUGGGGUUUCAGGAGCCGUGAAUAUUCCCCUCAGACACUGCCGUGGGGUCAGAGCCCCACAGUCUGCCAGUCUUUAUGCUCCCCUAGAUAUUCAAACAGCAGGGCACUGAAGAAGCCAGCCACACACCCAUCGCACACCCUGCGAGGGGGACAAGGGAAUCUUUCCCAUUUCAGAAGCUGGAUUGAAACUAGGUCUGAUUCCAGCAACAAACUGCUGGCACUCUCUGCCAUUUGUCCUCCUAAUGUCUAUGCUAUCUAUAUAUGGAGAAUAACUAUAGGGAAGUUAUUCUCCAAUGGGUCAAAGUUAUCAUAUACUGUUUACGUGGUCGGAAAAGCUAAUUACAUAUGUGAGAAGAGCUGCCCCCUGCAGCUCUGCUUUGGUUUGGUAGGCAAUUGGUUGGUUUGCUCUUUACCAACAAUUUCAGAGGUAGGAGAGAAGUUUGAAGGACUUCUAAAGUGACGGUUGAAAUAAAAACCUGAAGGAGAAACCCUGUAAGGUUUUCAGUUAACAUUCCGAAACUAAUUUAGAGACUAGGACUGGAAAAUUGUGUAUAAUUUAUUUUGUUUCAAGCUAUUAUGUCUCUUAUACCCUAAAAUCAUUAGGAAGAAACAGCUAAUAGAACAAAUAUACCAAGACUGGUCUUUGCAUGUGGCAAAAAUGCCAGGGUAGUCUGCUUCCAAUUUUGUGCACUCUUGAAGUGAAAGAACUCCAGGGGUUAGUGCAUAAACUGGCUGCUUUAAGGAGGACAAAACUGCCACCCUGGGAUUUAUAGGAAGUGGCCAAAAGAGAGUAUUAAAGUCGAUCGAUGACUGAGGAAAAGAUUUGCCUUAACAAAAGCAGGUCCCAGGCGAUUCCCCACAUGCAGCACCUUCUCUGUCCAACUUGUCAUCACUCACAUUGCUAUUCUUGACAGAAAAGUCUGUCUUUUUUUUGUGGUUACAACAUUCUUCAAAGACCAACUCAAAUCUCUCCUGCUUCAGAAAACUCUGUUGAUCACUCUCUGAUUUCCAGCCUCUCCAGAAUGCUUACUGCCUAUGUACUCUGAACUACAGAACUCAGAAUUUAAUUUUACAAGUGGGCAAGAAGGUCUUAACCCUCCCUUCAACUUGACUAAACUUCACACAGGUUGGUUCCUGACUAUAGGCCCUUGAUCUCCCUUUUCUUAGAGCACUUACUUCAGAACACUUGGAAUUGUCAAUUCUUUCUGUGUUCCCUAAACACGUAAAUCUUCUGCUAGACUCCUGUCAGUUUUACAACCCAGGAAUGUCUUUCUCAAGGUCCUAGGAGCCAUCCCUUUUAAAUAAAAUCUUCAGGAAUGAUACUGUUCCUAUCUCCCAGUCUUAUGGGAAGGUAAGAGCCUAACUUCUAUAAGCAUCAAUUAGCAAACACAGAUGGC
Molecule: long non-coding RNA, 2283 nt
Filed under: Macaca fascicularis (crab-eating macaque)
Lineage: Eukaryota; Metazoa; Chordata; Mammalia; Primates; Cercopithecidae
Description: lncRNA (ENSMFAG00000059695.1)
Source: RNAcentral